This is a long non-coding RNA of Acanthochromis polyacanthus (spiny chromis), 1780 nucleotides long. RefSeq lists it as uncharacterized. The record is from RefSeq and is a predicted model, not a curated record. The transcript is spliced from 3 exons. NCBI's taxonomy places the organism in Eukaryota, Metazoa, Chordata, Actinopteri, Pomacentridae.
AUGUAAACAAAGAAGCAUGAGCAGAGUUAGCAUCACUGCUGUGUGGACUGAGCUAUAAAACGGCUGUAUUAUAGUAUUAGUGAGAAAUAUCAGGGCGAUAAAGUAACGAUGUGUUCAGUUGAGUAUCUGAGAGAGUUGAUCAGCGACAGACUAGCUGCUGCUGCUGGAGAAAUAUUCUCAGAGUUUGAAUAAAAACAUCGUCCAGUACCAGGAGGAGAUCGAUCGUCAGCACAGACUGCUGGAUGUCAUCUGGAAACCACACAUCCCCUUACAACCCAUUGAGCUCCCACAGUCUUAUGUCUGUGAGAAUGAGAAGACUGUUGUUGACUAUCAACCCCAUGACCAAGAGAGAAACUCCAUGGUGGACCAUGAGGACCCAGAGCCUCCACGGAUUAAAGAUCAGCAGGAGGAACUCUGCACUAGUCAGGACCAAUCAAACCCAGAGAUUUCUCAAAUUAAAAUGGAACAGGAAGAAUUGCGCACCAGUCUGGACCAAUUAAACCCAGGGUUACCACAAAUUAAAGUGGAACAGGAUGAACUCUGCUCCAGUCAGGAGGAAGAGUUGAUUGGAUUGAAACAGGAGACUGAUACCUUUGAGGUGACUCCUGCUGAUGAGGAAAGUGACCACAGUGAACCAAAACCAAACAGUGAUCAGCUCCUGUUUCACAUCUCUUGUGUAGCUGAGAGCCCAGAUCAGGAAGGAAGCAAGGAUGUAGACUCAGGAUCAACUAGAUGUAUCGAGCAGAAACCAAGACAUCAGAGUAACAACAGUCACAGUAAUGAUGUAGACAAUGCUCCAACAUCAGUGAGACAGUGUGAUAAUGACAAGGCAAGAAAAUCUGCAACAUGUGAGGUCUGUGGAAAAGGUUUUAGGCGUAAAUCAAAUUUAAUUAGACAUCACAGAACCCACGCAGGUGAGAAGCCUUAUUUUUGUGAAACCUGUGGGAAAAACUUCAGUUAGCGGUCCCAUUUGACUUACCACAUGAGACGUCACACAGGUGAGAAGCCGUAUGUUUGUAACAUUUGUGGAAAAAGAUUUUCUGGUUCAUCAGCACAUUAUAAGCACGUGGCAGUUCACAAAAUGGGAAAGCAAUAUUCUUGUGGAACCUGUGGAAAAAGCUUCAGUCAACGGUCCUAUUUGACUGCCCACAUGAGAUGUCACACAGGUGAGAAGCCAUAUUCUGGUGGAACCUGUGGAAAAAGCUUCAACUGUAGUCAUCAAUUAAAAGCCCACAUGAGAAUCCACACAGCUGAGAGGACAUGAUCCUGAAACAUCUGUGGAAAACAUAAUGUGAGAAUUAAGGUUGAAACAACAUGUAAGAAUUGGUACAGGUUAAAAGUAGAUGUUCUAGAUUUAAAGCAGCUUUAGUCUGUGCUUCAACAACAAUUGUGAGGAAGUAUGUAAGCAAUCCUUGAUAAUUAGACCAUAUGGAAUCUGGACUGUGGUGGUGGAGCAGCAGGCAGAAGAACCAAACUGAAUGUCUGGAUGGAUAUGGUAUUGGUACAGACUGCUACAUUUCUGCUAUCAUGACAUCCUUCAUCAGCAGAGCAGUGAUUGGAGAUAAUGUGAAGCUGUUUGGAACAUUUUCACUUUCUGCUGAGGGAACAUGGCUGUUCAGGUAUGAACAUACUGCUGGAAUCCACUCAGCUUGAACUCUGCUGUCUUUCAAGUAAAAGGAGGCAACGAGAUACAGAGACAUUGUGACAGUAGAACACAACAGUGUGUGUCACUGCAGCAGAGGAGAUCUGGACGUGAAAUAAAGUUGUAAUAAAAAGUCUA